UAGGUGUAAUUAAAUGCAAUUUUGUGAAGUAGAAAUCAAAAUGAACAAUAAGGAAAGGAAAAUGUGAAUUGAAAAGAAUGAGUGAGUGAUAAAUGAGAAUGAAUGAACCUAAGGGAAUGAAUUAGGUCGGGUGUGGGAAUGACUCCUAACUUUUUCGACUUCGAUUUUCCCUUUGAUUAGAAGGCAAAACUAGCGUGCUAAGGCUAUCGAGUAGCCACACUCGCUCGUUUCCCUUAUCAGAAGGGGACCCUCAAGCAAAUGGACCCUACAACUAUCAUGAUAUGCAAAAAUCCUAAAAUGAAGGGAAAGGGGGUUCGAGGAGCAUGCCAAGUGAUAAAACUAAGAAAAAUGCAUGAUAUGUGGUGAACAAACAAAUGAUAUGCUAAUGAGGGGAAAUCCCUAAGGGUCUAGCGUUGGACUAGCCCAUUCUAUGAAUUCCGACUAGCGUUGGACUAGCGGAAACGUACAUUCAUCCAUUCCAUUCAUUCAUGGCUAUGAAAGCAAGUAGACAUGCCAAAAUACUCGUAAACACAUAGCACAUAGCAUUUAGCAUGCUCGACUAGAUGCAAGAGCCUAAUAAAGCAAUUAAACAUGUAGCAACAAAAGCAAGCAACCAGGGGGAAGGGGAAGUGGACCAGAU
This 640-nucleotide long non-coding RNA is filed under the name Coffea arabica (coffee). RNAcentral's name for it is "long non-coding RNA (CARA_LNC008105)". Lineage: Eukaryota; Viridiplantae; Streptophyta; Magnoliopsida; Gentianales; Rubiaceae. The record is from RNAcentral.